UACGUAGGGAGCAAGCGUUGUCCGGAAUCAUUGGGCGUAAAGCGCGCGUAGGCGGCCCCGUAAGUCCGCUGUGAAAGUCAAAGGCUCAACCUUUGAAAGCCGGUGGAAACUGUGGGGCUAGAGUCCGGAAGAGGCGAGUGGAAUUCCUGGUGUAGCGGUGGAAUGCGCAGAUAUCAGGAGGAACACCAAUAGCGAAGGCAGCUCGCUGGGACGGUACUGACGCUAAGGCGCGAAAGCGUGGGGAGCAAACAGG
RNAcentral lists this ribosomal RNA (253 nucleotides) under uncultured bacterium. RNAcentral describes it as "partial 16S ribosomal RNA". It matches the Rfam family "Bacterial small subunit ribosomal RNA", at positions 524 to 776 of the family's 1533-position model. The record is from RNAcentral.